UUCUUCUAAAGCUAAAUACCGGCCAGAGACCGAUAGCGCACAAGUAGAGUGAUCGAAAGAUGAAAAGCACUUUGGAAAGAGAGUCAAACAGCACGUGAAAUUGUUGAAAGGGAAGCGCUUGCAGCCAGACUUGCUUACAGUUGCUCA
RNAcentral lists this ribosomal RNA (147 nucleotides) under Prymnesium polylepis. Its description in RNAcentral is "partial Eukaryotic large subunit ribosomal RNA". It matches the Rfam family "Eukaryotic large subunit ribosomal RNA", at positions 305 to 451 of the family's 3401-position model. Lineage: Eukaryota; Haptophyta; Prymnesiales; Prymnesiaceae. The record is from RNAcentral.